This 261-nucleotide ribosomal RNA is filed under the name uncultured bacterium. RNAcentral describes it as "partial 16S ribosomal RNA". It matches the Rfam family "Bacterial small subunit ribosomal RNA", at positions 99 to 354 of the family's 1533-position model. The record is from RNAcentral.
CGAACGGGUGAGUAACACGUGGGCAACCUGCCCAAAANAGGGGGAUAACACUUGGAAACAGGUGCUAAUACCGCAUAACCAUAGUUACCGCAUGGUAACUAUGUAAAAGGUGGCUAUGCUACCGCUUUUGGAUGGGCCCGCGACGCAUUAGCUAGUUGGUGGGGUAAAGGCUUACCAAGGCAAUGAUGCGUAGCCGAACUGAGAGGUUGAUCGGCCACAUUGGGACUGAGACACGGCCCAAACUCCUACGGAAGGCAGCAG